This 2073-nucleotide long non-coding RNA is filed under the name Canis lupus familiaris (dog). Its description in RNAcentral is "lncRNA (ENSCAFG00040010539.1)". Lineage: Eukaryota; Metazoa; Chordata; Mammalia; Carnivora; Canidae. The record is from RNAcentral.
AAUCAAAAAAAAAAAAAAAAAAAAGACAUCUUUAAAAAUCAAUCCCUGGUUGUAGACGAGUUCUCCAAAACCAGUACCUGGCACCACUCCAACAAACGAACGGGGGGUGGGGGCGGGGGAGAAGAGUUCUCGGGUCGGCUCGGCGCUCCGCGCCUCUACUCGGCCGCCUCCGCCGGGGGGCCUUCCGGACUGCACUCGGGCUGGGGCUCCUGCGAGGACGCGGCCGCCGUGGCCGAGGCCGAGGCCGAGGCCGAGGCCGAGGCCGAGGCCGAGGCCGAGGCCGAGGCCGAGCCCGCCGCCGCCUCCUCCGCGGCCGAGGCCGAGCCCGCCGCCGCCUCCUGCUCGGGGCCCGCGGCCGGCGCCUCCGCGGCCUCCCCCGCGGCCUCCCCCGCGGCCUCCCCGGGCUCGGCGGCCUCCCCGGGCCCCGCGGCGGCGGGCGGCUGCUCGGGCGGGCGGCGUCGCGGGGCUGGGCCUCCUGCGGGCCGCCGGCCGCCGCCUGCUCAGCCGCCCGGGGCUCGGCGGCCUCCGCGGCCUCCCCCGCGGCCUCCGCGCCUCGGCCGCCUGCACCUGCGCCUGCACCUGCGCCUGCACCUGCGCCUGCGGCUGCGCCUGCGCCUGCGCGCCCGGCUCGGCGGCCUCGUCCUUGCGGCCGUCUGCGGGCGCGCCCCCCGCCGCCUCGGCCUCCGCCUCGCCCGCCUCCUUCUUGUUCUUCUUGAAGGAGAAGCCGCUCAGCUUGAAGGACUUCUUGAAGGAGAAGCGCUUCUUUUUUUUUUUCGGGGUCUCCCCGCUGGGCGAGGGCGCGGCGCCAUCCUCCGCCUUGGGCGACGACGUGGACGACGCGGCGGACGCGGCCUCCCCCUCGGCGGCCGCCGGCGACCCCGGCGACCCCGGCUCGGCGGCCUCGGCCUCGGGCUCCCUGUCGGCGGGCGCGGCGGGCGCGGCGGCGGGGCGGGGGCGGGGGCGGGGGCGGCCUCGCGGUCGGCGGGCGGCUCCUCCUGCUCGGCGGCCGGCGCCCCGCUCCCCGCGGCCGCGGGCUCCUCCUUGUCGGCGGCCGGGGCGCUGCCGUUGGCCUGCAGCUCCUCCUUGGCGCCCGGCUCGGCGGCCGCGGGGGACGCGUCCCCGUUCACCUUCACGUGGCCGUUCUCCUGCGGGCACACAAGGCGGCAGCGUCACUCGGGCGGCCCCCGGAGGCCCCGCGCCCCGCUGCGGGGGAGGGGGGCGUGCACCCUGCUGGGGGGGGCGUGCAUCCUGCUCCGCGGGGGGGAAGGCCCUGCACCCCGCUGGGGGGGAGGGGGUGUGCACCCUGCUGGGGAGGGAAGGCCGUGCACCCCGCUCCAGGGAGACCCUGCACCCUGCUGGGGUGGGGGGGAGGCCGUGCACCCCGCUCCAGGGAGACCCUGCACCCUGCUGGGGUGGGGGGGGGGAGGCCGUGCACCCUGCUCCAGGGGAGCGUGCACCCUGCUGGGAGGGGGGUGUGGCUGUGCACCCCUCUCCGGAGAGAGGCCGUGCACCCCGCCCCGGGGUGGGGGGAGGUCCUGCACCCAGCUCCAGGGAAGCCCUGCACCCCGCCCCAGGAGGGAGGCGGUGGACCCUGCUCCCGAGGAAAGGCCGUACACCCCGCUCUGGGGAGGCUGUCACCCCGGCUCCAGGGCGGCCGUGCACCCCACUCCGGGGAGGUCCUGCACCCAGCUCCAGGGAGGCCGUGCACCCCACUCCGGGUUGUGGGGGGAGACCGUGCACCCUCCUCCCGGGGAGAGGCCGUGCACCCCGCUCCGAGGGGAGGCCGUGCACCCGGCCCCGGGGGGAGACCGUGCACCCCGCCCCGCGGAGGCCGUGCAUCCCGCUCCGGGGAGGCCCUGCACCCGGCCCCGGGGAGGCGGCGUCGCCGGCCCAGAUGAGCACCCUCCGCGGAGCCGGGGCAGGGCCGGGGCGGCGCCCUGGAGACGCGGCGGCGGCCGGGAGCGCCGGGCAGACGCCCUACGGUCCCACGGCGCCCGGGCCGCGCACGGGGAGCGGCGCAUCGCCCACCGCAGCCCCCGCCUCCCGGGCUCCGCACGAACAAGAGCCACGUAA